RNAcentral lists this ribosomal RNA (253 nucleotides) under uncultured bacterium. RNAcentral's name for it is "partial 16S ribosomal RNA". It matches the Rfam family "Bacterial small subunit ribosomal RNA", at positions 524 to 776 of the family's 1533-position model. The record is from RNAcentral.
UACGAAGGGGGCUAGCGUUGUUCGGAAUUACUGGGCGUAAAGGGCGCGUAGGCGGUGUGUCAAGUCAGGCGUGAAAGCCCCGGGCUCAACCUGGGAACAGCGCUUGAGACUGGCACGCUCGAGUUCGGGAGAGGAUGGUGGAAUUCCCAGUGUAGAGGUGAAAUUCGUAGAUAUUGGGAAGAACACCGAUGGCGAAGGCAGCCUUCUGGACCGACACUGACGCUGAGGCGCGAAAGCGUGGGGAGCAAACAGG